RNAcentral lists this ribosomal RNA (493 nucleotides) under uncultured Bacteroidota bacterium. Its description in RNAcentral is "bacterial SSU rRNA". It matches the Rfam family "Bacterial small subunit ribosomal RNA", at positions 8 to 499 of the family's 1533-position model. Lineage: Bacteria; Pseudomonadati; Bacteroidota. The record is from RNAcentral.
AGAGUUUGAUCCUGGCUCAGGAUGAACGCUAGCGGCAGGCCUAAUACAUGCAAGUCGAGGGGCAGCAUUCACUUCGGUGAGAUGGCGACCGGCGCACGGGUGCGUAACGCGUAUGCAACCUACCCUUUACUGCGGGAUAGCCCGGGGAAACCCGGAUUAAUACCGCAUGGUACCAAUUGAGGGCAUCUAAAGAUGGUUAAAGAUUUAUCGGUAAAGGAUGGGCAUGCGUGACAUUAGUUAGUUGGUGAGGUAACGGCUCACCAAGACGACGAUGUCUAGGGGGUCUGAGAGGAUGAUCCCCCACACUGGCACUGAGAUACGGGCCAGACUCCUACGGGAGGCAGCAGUAGGGAAUAUUGGUCAAUGGGCGCAAGCCUGAACCAGCCAUGCCGCGUGCAGGAAGACGGCCUUCUGGGUUGUAAACUGCUUUUAUCAGGGAACAAAAAGCUCCUGCGGGAGAAAUUGCGUGUACCUGAAGAAUAAGGACCGGCUA